Long non-coding RNA from Neofelis nebulosa (Clouded leopard), 463 nucleotides. RefSeq lists it as uncharacterized. The transcript is spliced from 3 exons. Lineage: Eukaryota; Metazoa; Chordata; Mammalia; Carnivora; Felidae. The record is from RefSeq and is a predicted model, not a curated record.
CUGGACCGCGGCCUCUGCUGACUGAUCUUGGGAAGAUUUUGACAACUGUCGCUCAUCACCCUAGGGGAGGGAACAAAGACCCUGGAGGAAAUUAUUCAAACCAUUUAAUUUGAGCCAUUUGCUGUCUGACCUUUACGCCUGCCACGUACAAACGUUUACUCAGAGACAAGCUGAGGACACCCAAGCUGUCAAGCUGCCUCCCUGAAGAGAAGCAGAGUGCUCGAAAGACAUUCACUUCUGGAAUGUUCUCCUAGAUGAAACCUGGAAAGAAAGGAAACUGGAAAGUAAAUAGUGGAUGAGCUCUCUUCCUCAUAAAACCCAGCACAUCUGCAGCCUUCAUUGUAAAGGCUUGCACGUUUCCAGAUCAGGUAGGUGGCCAAACUCAGAUGCUUCCAAAUUUCCUCCCCUGCCAGUUAUUGAAUGGCAUUGUCCAGAAAAGAAAGGGGGGCAUAGGUCAUCCAGU